This 1009-nucleotide ribosomal RNA is filed under the name Lacticaseibacillus rhamnosus. Its description in RNAcentral is "bacterial SSU rRNA". It matches the Rfam family "Bacterial small subunit ribosomal RNA", at positions 282 to 1284 of the family's 1533-position model. The record is from RNAcentral. Lineage: Bacteria; Bacillati; Bacillota; Bacilli; Lactobacillales; Lactobacillaceae.
CGUAGCCGAACUGAGAGGUUGAUCGGCCACAUUGGGACUGAGACACGGCCCAAACUCCUACGGGAGGCAGCAGUAGGGAAUCUUCCACAAUGGACGCAAGUCUGAUGGAGCAACGCCGCGUGAGUGAAGAAGGCUUUCGGGUCGUAAAACUCUGUUGUUGGAGAAGAAUGGUCGGCAGAGUAACUGUUGUCGGCGUGACGGUAUCCAACCAGAAAGCCACGGCUAACUACGUGCCAGCAGCCGCGGUAAUACGUAGGUGGCAAGCGUUAUCCGGAUUUAUUGGGCGUAAAGCGAGCGCAGGCGGUUUUUUAAGUCUGAUGUGAAAGCCCUCGGCUUAACCGAGGAAGUGCAUCGGAAACUGGGAAACUUGAGUGCAGAAGAGGACAGUGGAACUCCAUGUGUAGCGGUGAAAUGCGUAGAUAUAUGGAAGAACACCAGUGGCGAAGGCGGCUGUCUGGUCUGUAACUGACGCUGAGGCUCGAAAGCAUGGGUAGCGAACAGGAUUAGAUACCCUGGUAGUCCAUGCCGUAAACGAUGAAUGCUAGGUGUUGGAGGGUUUCCGCCCUUCAGUGCCGCAGCUAACGCAUUAAGCAUUCCGCCUGGGGAGUACGACCGCAAGGUUGAAACUCAAAGGAAUUGACGGGGGCCCGCACAAGCGGUGGAGCAUGUGGUUUAAUUCGAAGCAACGCGAAGAACCUUACCAGGUCUUGACAUCUUUUGAUCACCUGAGAGAUCAGGUUUCCCCUUCGGGGGCAAAAUGACAGGUGGUGCAUGGUUGUCGUCAGCUCGUGUCGUGAGAUGUUGGGUUAAGUCCCGCAACGAGCGCAACCCUUAUGACUAGUUGCCAGCAUUUAGUUGGGCACUCUAGUAAGACUGCCGGUGACAAACCGGAGGAAGGUGGGGAUGACGUCAAAUCAUCAUGCCCCUUAUGACCUGGGCUACACACGUGCUACAAUGGAUGGUACAACGAGUUGCGAGACCGCGAGGUCAAGCUAAUCUCUUAAAGCCA